AUGAAGAGUUUGAUCCUGGCUCAGGAUGAACGCUAGCGGCAGGCCUAACACAUGCAAGUCGAACGGUAACAGGAAAGAGCUUGCUCUUUUGCUGACGAGUGGCGCACGGGUGCGUAACGCGUAUACAAUCUACCUUUUACAGGGGGAUAGCCUUUAGAAAUGAAGAAUAAUACCCCAUAGUAAGUAAAUUUCGCAUGGAAAUUACUUUAAAGAUUUAUCGGUAAAAGAUGAGUAUGCGUUCUAUUAGCUAGAUGGUAAGGUAACGGCUUACCAUGGCAACGAUAGAUAGGGGCCCUGAGAGGGGGAUCCCCCACACUGGUACUGAGACACGGACCAGACUCCUACGGGAGGCAGCAGUGAGGAAUAUUGGACAAUGGAGGCAACUCUGAACCAGCCAUGCCGCGUGCAGGAAGACUGCCCUAUGGGUUGUAAACUGCUUUUAUAUAGGAAGAAACCUUUCCACGUGUGGAGAGCUGACGGUACUAUAAGAAUAAGGAUCGGCUAACUCCGUGCCAGCAGCCGCGGUAAUACG
Molecule: ribosomal RNA, 532 nt
Filed under: Schmidingerella taraikaensis
Lineage: Eukaryota; Ciliophora; Spirotrichea; Tintinnida; Rhabdonellidae
Description: partial Bacterial small subunit ribosomal RNA
Rfam family: Bacterial small subunit ribosomal RNA
Source: RNAcentral